This 394-nucleotide ribosomal RNA is filed under the name Chlamydomonas sp. MACC 835. RNAcentral describes it as "SSU rRNA". It matches the Rfam family "Eukaryotic small subunit ribosomal RNA", at positions 613 to 1004 of the family's 1831-position model. Lineage: Eukaryota; Viridiplantae; Chlorophyta; Chlorophyceae; Chlamydomonadales; Chlamydomonadaceae. The record is from RNAcentral.
AACAAGGUGUUUGCAGUUAAAAAGCUCGUAGUUGGAUUUCGGGCGGGGCGACGCGGUCCGCCUCUGGUGUGCACUGCGGCGACCCGCCUUCCGGCCGGGGACGGGCUCCUGGGCUUCACUGUCCGGGACUCGGAGUCGGCGAGGUUACUUUGAGUAAAUUAGAGUGUUCAAAGCAGGCCUACGCUCUGAAUACGUUAGCAUGGAAUAACGCGAUAGGACUCUGGCCUAUUUCGUUGGUCUGUGGGACCGGAGUAAUGAUUAAGAGGGACGGUCGGGGGCAUUCGUAUUGCGUUGUCAGAGGUGAAAUUCUUGGAUUCACGCAAGACGAACUUCUGCGAAAGCAUUUGCCAAGCACGCGCCCGUUAAUCAAGAACGAAAGUUGGGGGCUCGAAGA